GAAUGUAUAGCUCAGUGGUAGAGCAUUCGACUGCAGAUCGAGAAGUCCAUGGUUUGUACCCGGGUAAUUGA
This is a non-coding RNA of Trichonephila clavipes, 71 nucleotides long. The record is from the annotation of a GenBank genome assembly. NCBI's taxonomy places the organism in Eukaryota, Metazoa, Arthropoda, Arachnida, Araneae, Nephilidae.